Molecule: ribosomal RNA, 1345 nt
Filed under: uncultured bacterium
Lineage: Bacteria
Description: bacterial SSU rRNA
Rfam family: Bacterial small subunit ribosomal RNA
Source: RNAcentral
GAUGAACUUUAGCGGGAGGCCUAACACAUGCAAGCCGAGCGGUAUUGUUUCUUCGGAAAUGAGAGAGCGGCGUACGGGUGCGGAACACGUGUGCAACCUGCCUUUAUCUGGGGGAUAGCCUUUCGAAAGGAAGAUUAAUACUCCAUAAUAUAUUGAACGGCAUCGUUUAAUAUUGAAAGCUCCGGCGGAUAGAGAUGGGCACGCGCAAGAUUAGCUAGUUGGUGAGGUAACGGCUCACCAAGGCGAUGAUCUUUAGGGGGCCUGAGAGGGUGAUCCCCCACACUGGUACUGAGACACGGACCAGACUCCUACGGGAGGCAGCAGUGAGGAAUAUUGGUCAAUGGGUGCAAGCCUGAACCAGCCAUCCCGCGUGAAGGACGACUGCCCUAUGGGUUGUAAACUUCUUUUGUAUAGGGAUAAACCUACCCUCGUGAGGGUAGCUGAAGGUACUAUACGAAUAAGCACCGGCUAACUCCGUGCCAGCAGCCGCGGUAAUACGGAGGGUGCAAGCGUUAUCCGGAUUUAUUGGGUUUAAAGGGUCCGUAGGCGGACUUAUAAGUCAGUGGUGAAAGCCUGUCGCUUAACGAUAGAACUGCCAUUGAUACUGUAAGUCUUGAGUAUAUUUGAGGUAGCUGGAAUAAGUAGUGUAGCGGUGAAAUGCAUAGAUAUUACUUAGAACACCAAUUGCGAAGGCAGGUUACCAAGAUAUAACUGACGCUGAGGGACGAAAGCGUGGGGAGCGAACAGGAUUAGAUACCCUGGUAGUCCACGCCGUAAACGAUGCUAACUCGUUUUUGGGCUUUAGGGUUCAGAGACCAAGCGAAAGUGAUAAGUUAGCCACCUGGGGAGUACGCUCGCAAGAGUGAAACUCAAAGGAAUCGACGGGGGCCCGCACAAGCGGUGGAUUAUGUGGUUUAAUUCGAUGAUACGCGAGGAACCUUACCAAGACUUAAAUGGGAAUUGACAGCUUUAGAAAUAGAGCUUUCUUCGGACAAUUUUCAAGGUGCUGCAUGGUUGUCGUCAGCUCGUGCCGUGAGGUGUUAGGUUAAGUCCUGCAACGAGCGCAACCCCUGUCACUAGUUGCCAUCAUUCAGUUGGGGACUCUAGUGAGACUGCCUACGCAAGUAGAGAGGAAGGUGGGGAUGACGUCAAAUCAUCACGGCCCUUACGUCUUGGGCCACACACGUAAUACAAUGGCCGGUACAGAGGGCAGCUACACAGCGAUGUGAUGCAAAUCUCGAAAGCCGGUCUCAGUUCGGAUUGGAGUCUGCAACUCGACUCUAUGAAGCUGGAAUCGCUAGUAAUCGCGCAUCAGCCAUGGCGCGGUGAAUACGUUCCCGGGGCU